This 77-nucleotide transfer RNA is filed under the name Halioglobus sp. RNAcentral describes it as "tRNA-Ile". It matches the Rfam family "tRNA". Rfam says of the family: Transfer RNA (tRNA) molecules are approximately 80 nucleotides in length. Their secondary structure includes four short double-helical elements and three loops (D, anti-codon, and T loops). Further hydrogen bonds mediate the characteristic L-shaped molecular structure. tRNAs have two regions of fundamental functional importance: the anti-codon, which is responsible for specific mRNA codon recognition, and the 3' end, to which the tRNAs corresponding amino acid is attached (by aminoacyl-tRNA synthetases). tRNAs cope with the degeneracy of the genetic code in two manners: having more than one tRNA (with a specific anti-codon) for a particular amino acid; and 'wobble' base-pairing, i.e. permitting non-standard base-pairing at the 3rd anti-codon position. The record is from RNAcentral. Lineage: Bacteria; Pseudomonadati; Pseudomonadota; Gammaproteobacteria; Cellvibrionales; Halieaceae. RNAcentral also lists the same sequence under 2 other names.
GGGCCCAUAGCUCAGCUGGUUAGAGCAUCCGACUCAUAAUCGGCAGGUCGAAGGUUCGAGUCCUUCUGGGCCCACCA